CGGGGGAGUAGCUGCUGGGAGCAGGUGGCCAGGGCGGCACAGCCACCAUUAAACAGUUCCAACCAAAGCUUUUGUCCCCACAUGUUUUCUCAACUGCACCAUAAAGCUUAAAGGCACACGUAAUUCUUCACAUUCCUAUUUUCUAGCCCAUUCUUGACCCAAGGACAGACAAACAGUGAAAAGUAGGGACUUUAUGUUUGUUUUUACACAGGUAAGAGUCAUUUCGUAUGUGUUUUCAGUACAUCAUAACA
RNAcentral lists this long non-coding RNA (251 nucleotides) under Gallus gallus (chicken). Its description in RNAcentral is "long non-coding RNA NONGGAT002153". Lineage: Eukaryota; Metazoa; Chordata; Aves; Galliformes; Phasianidae. The record is from RNAcentral.